Molecule: long non-coding RNA, 1596 nt
Filed under: Nicotiana tabacum (common tobacco)
Lineage: Eukaryota; Viridiplantae; Streptophyta; Magnoliopsida; Solanales; Solanaceae
Description: long non-coding RNA (NTAB_LNC005830)
Source: RNAcentral
AUAUUAGCCAUCUAGACAUUCUGAUGUUAUCACAUAUAUAACAGAACAACAAACGCAAGAUGUGCAAAGGAUAAAACAUCCUACUGCAUCACAAAUGUUCUAGGUUAUGUUAAUUAUGCUAUUCGGACACUGAAAACUCAUGUACAUGUGGUACACAUUUUCGACAGACAGAACUAGUCGCUUGCACAACAGGCUGCAAGGGAUAGACACAAUCAAUUUUAUAAGUUUUUUCUAUAUUAGUUCAUAAUUCACUUCAUUAGGUACCAUUGUCUUCUCAUUUUGUAGUCCAUCUGUUGAACCAACUUUCACUAUCUUCUGGGAAUCAGGAAUAGAUCCCGCAAACUGCAUAGUUAUUUAUAUGCUGCAAUAUUACUAGGAGAGAGAUAUCAUUUAUGAAAAGUCAAGAAAUUUAAAUGUCGGGGACUUCAGAAAGAAUCAUGUCUCUAUCUUUCGUACAACUUAAGUCAGUAAUUCCACUGAUAAAAAAAAAGAAAGAAGUAAAGCAGUUCACACAGCACUCAAAGAUCAACAAACAUUAACAAAAAGCACAGUACCUCGUCUUAACAUCCUUCACAUAUCCGUAGGUGCUAUAAUGACAUUUAAGCAUAUAAAAGAACCACGUGUUAUUCGAACAACCAUAGGACCUUUCAUUGAAAUCCCUUUUUCACCUUUUCCAUAGGAAGGCUCCUCCUUCAAUGUCCUCGCUUCAUUGACGUCUUUAACACGUCAUUGUUAAAGAAAGGAAAAAGUUGCUUAUAUGACACGAAGGUUACUAGAUGAGAAGCUUAGAACAUAGAUACUUCCGCGCAUGCUUGACUUAGAAUAACUGCAAAUUAGUAUUCAUAGUUUUUUCACUGCAGAGACCAAUCUCAUAAAGGAAUUUACCAACAAUUUGGACGAGCUUCCUCAACUUAAAAGAGUAUAGAAGGAUGGAGAAAAGCCAUUGCACAAAAAGCGGCUCAAUGUGCAAGUAGAUUAAAUAUAGUAGAACGAAUCUAUGAAUUUAUUGAUUUUGAAUAGCAAACAAGCAAUUGUAAACCCUUGCAUAAUGGGGAACAAAAGAUAAUCAAGUUUAAAGUAAACCAUUGCAUUACGACAUCGCUGUGAUUAAAAGAAAACUAAUUAAACAACGAAUGAUCUUUCAAAUUUGCCUCAAAAUUUACCUUCAAAAAGAAGAAACGCAAAAGACCAUGGAGUGAUAAAUGUUCCUAAUGUAAUAUGUGUGAAUUUCACAAUAACAUCAUGAUAAAAGCUAAACAAUCAAAUUAGGGAAUAAUAACACGCCUAUCGCCGUCAGCUAAAUUUGGGGAAACAGGAAAUAAAACAGAUGAAAAAAAUACUGAAUAGUUUACGAACCUUAAGAAAUCUCGUGAGAGAGCAUCGCCGCCGCCGACCGGCAAAAAGAGUUGAGUUUGGGAGCGAAGCAUCACCGCCGGCGAAGGGGCAAAAAAAAUUUGGACCAUUUCUCGAUUGUGCAUAUCAUCUUUGAGCAGGGGCCAUGCUAAUCUUCUGUGUAUCGUUCCAAACGAACUCCAGUGUUGAGCUUCCGCAAUAUAAACAGAGCAAAAACUUCUUCUGCAGCCCAUGAGGGAGAAU